Molecule: RNA transcript, 3711 nt
Organism: Pecten maximus
Lineage: Eukaryota; Metazoa; Mollusca; Bivalvia; Pectinida; Pectinidae
Exons: 2
Source: RefSeq, a predicted model, not a curated record
UUAUUAAUGUAUGCUGAUGAUAUGGUAUUGUUAGCUGAAACACCCGAGGGCUUGCAACAAAUGUUAGAUGCAUUGCUAAAUUACACCAAUGAAUGGGGUUUAACAGUGAAUACAGAUAAAACUAAGGUGUUAGUUUUUAGAAACGGGGGGAAAUUAAGGUCAAGUGACAAAUGGUUUUAUAAUGGUCACGAAUUAGAUAACGUUGAUAACUUUAAUUACUUGGGUGUCUUGUUAAAUUACAACGGAAAAUUCAGAAAAACUCAAGAAAAGUUAGCCGAACAAGGUAAAAAAGCACUUUUCGCUGUAGCCAAUGUAUGUAGGAAAAAUUAUUUCAAUGUUGAAACACAGGACCACGUCUUCGAUAUAUAUGUUGCCAGUAUUUUAAACUAUGGUUGCGAAGUAUGGGGAAUGCACAAAGCACCCGAUAUAGAAAAAUUACACUUGAAAUUCUGUAAGAAUUUAUUAGGAGUCAAGAAGUGCACACCAGAUUGUAUGGUAUAUAAUGAAUUAGGAAGAAUACCAAUAAGUAAUAUUCGCAAGUUAAGAAUUAUCAAAUAUUGGUUUAAAUUUAAAAAAUCAGACAAUUGUAUAUUACAAGCCUGUUAUCAAGAAACGUUAUAUAAUGAGAAUGGGAUAUGUGAAUACGUCAGAAAUGAACUAUUCCGAAUGGGAUUAGGAUAUAUGUGGUAUCAAGACAGAAUGAGUGAUAGAGAUUUCGAUAUUGUUAAAUUUAAGAUACAUGAUAUUUUUCAACAAUAGUGCAGAGAAAAGAUUGAAUCUUCUUCCAAGUGUGCAUUGUAUAUGCAUUUGAGUGAUAAUUUUUGUCUACAAAAAUAUUUAGCAAUGCCUAUAGAUUCAAAACAUUUAAAAGAAAUAAUUAAAAUAAGGAUGUCAUCACAUAAGUUAAAAGUAGAGGUUGGACGUUAUAAUAAUAUAUCACGUAACCUUAGGAAAUGUAAUGUCUGUAAUAACGGAGAUAUAGAAGAUGAAUUUCAUUUUAUAAUCAAAUGUCAAUGCUUUAAAGAGUUGAGAAGUAAGUUCAUAAAAAAAUAUUAUUUUACUAGACCAAGCAUGUAUAAAUUUAUUAAACUACUGUGCACUGAUAACAUAAAAGAUAUGGCAAAUUUGGCGAAAUUCAUUUCCUUAAGUAAUAAGAAACGAGACCGCCUGUUACAAUGUUAGGCUGAAUAUUGAAUAGUGUUUUAUGUAUUUUCGAAAUUACUUAGUAUUGAGCAAUUUGCUAAUAUAUAUGUAAUUGAUAUAUAAAUGUCUAGAAUAUAUAACUACAACAUGUUUGUAAUCCCCUAUGCACUUUUGUAAUUUCCAUGGCAGAAUUUGUAAUUUGUGAAAACAAUGUACUUAAUUAUUGAAGUGUGAGAGAUAUUCCUCUACACUAUUCUAGAUGUAACCGACCGGUGUUCAUAUGUGUGGUUCAGUGUGAGUGUGUGGGUAUAGGUGUGUAUGUGCUGUAGUGUACAUGUGUGGAUUGGUGUGUGAGAGUUUGUCUGUGGAUCAGUGUGAGUGGGUGGGUGUGGAUCAGUGUGGGUGUGUGAGUUGUGUGAGGACUGUGAGAACUUGUUGUACAUGUAAUUUAUAUACUGAUAAACCAUGUGGUUUAAAGUAAUAAAGAACUUGAACUUGAACUUGAUUGGACACCAUUCCACUCUGGCCAACAUUUCUAUUUUCACACCUUGGCCAGGCUUGGUCAUACCUGAGUGACCACCAGGUAAGUUCCAGGUAAAAAGUUGUCACUUACCUGUGUUUGGUAAACUUCAAAGAUAUCGCUUCACACUUUACUAUGGCCAAUGCACAGAUACAGGUGGAUUUUCUGGAGAAUGGAAGAGGGGGUCACUAUCUCCUAAAUGCGGGCUAUAAAUAUUCCAUUAAGACAAGAAGGAACAAUAGAGUGUAUUGGAGAUGUGUUCGAAGAGAUCUUGAUUGCACUACAUCAUUAACCACUGUUGAUAAUACUCCUGUUGGGAAUUAUGGACAAAAUCAUAACCAUCAACCCGACAUUAUUGGCUUUGCUGCUGAUGCAUUUGUAGUUAACCUCAAGAAAAGGUGUAGAGAUGAAAUCACUCCAGUACCAUCACUAUAUGAUGAGGAACUUGGACUAUUGAGAAAUAGGGAUUUUGAUGAUGAUGUCAAGACUUUGAUAGAGAAAAUUCCUGUUUUUGAAAAUGUUAAGUCAUCCCUUUACAAUCACAGCAUGAAGACCAUUCCAAAAUUACCAGUUUUGCAACACGAAAUCGACCUUCAAGGCGAAUGGAAAGAAACAUAUGCCGGGGAAAGAUUUCUUUUAAAUGACGAGAAUAUGCUCAAUGGACAAAGAUUACUCAUUUUUGCUACAGAUACAAAUUUGGAGCAUAUCAGUGAAUCCUCCCAUCAUUUUUGGAGAUGGUACAUUCUACUCAUGCCCUGGACUAUUCUACCAGUUAUAUACUUUACACGGCCAGGUACAACAAACAAGUGUUUCCAUUUAUAUACGGUCUAUUACCGAACAAGACUCAGCAAACAUAUUAUACUUUCUUUAGUGCCAUUAGCCAGCUUUUGACCGACAGAAAUAUUCAGUUGACAGCUCAUUCCGUUUUAUUUGACUUUGAAGUUGCAACAAAGACCGCCUUUAGGGCUGUGUUUCCAGCAGUUUCUGUCAAGUCAUGUUUUUUUCACUAUACAGUGUGUUUGGAGGAAAACACAGUCUUGUGGUCUUGCUACCAGAUAUAGCAAUGAUGAUGAUGUAAAGACACUUGUCCGUAGAGCAGCAGUGCUUCCUUUGGUACCAGUGGAUCGGGUUGAGGACGUUUGGUUCAACGCACUUGAGGAUAGUGAGGACCAUACUCCAGAGUUUUACAGAUGACCAGAUUUAAAGAUUAUAUAACAGAAACAUGGGUCGAAAGCCAUGACAAGGAGACAUGGAAUCAUUUUGAAAAUGCUGGACCAAGGACUACAAACCACGUCGAAGGAUGACAUAGUAAAGUGAACCGUCUCUGUAGUAGUGCCCAUCCAAACAUCUAUAGCAUUAUUAAACUAAUCAAAUCCAUUCAGGCAACUAAUGAGUCUAAGAUCAUCCAGCUGGAAGCAGGAGCAAGAGCAAGGAGGAAAAAGGCCAAGUAUCAGCGCAUUGAUGCUAGAUUGCGCAUCCUGAAGGACAGGUUCAGGAAUGGUGAACUUGACGUUUACCCAUAUGCUGACGCAGCAUCUCACUUAAUUCAUCUGAAUGAGUAAACCCCAACUACAUAUUCGAAUGGAAAAUGUGAACUGUAUAAUCUAACCUGUAAUAUAAACAGUUUGCUAUCUUAUUUAUAAAUGCUAUACAUGUAUUAUAUUGAGUUACCUUAGUGAUAUGAAUUAAAUAAUUAUGUUUUACAUACAUUUUGUUUAUGAAUUCAUCAUUUUGAUAGAUAAAUAUUUUAGAUACAAUGUAACUGUCGUAGUUUAUAUAGUAUAAUUCUGGCAGCAAUCUAACUGUAGCUUUUCGAGUUUGUCUGCAUCACUGAGAGAACACCCAUCCCAAACUUCACAACAAUAUUCAAAUAGUGGUAGACGAUAAGCUUUGUAAAUCUUUAAUAAAGUUUGCUUGUUUAAUACAUAUUUUAAUUUACGAAGUACACUUAUCUGUUUUGCAACGCUUUUACCUAUAUUUUCGAUAUGUUUACUCCAUUUACAAUUUCCAUCUAACGUUACUCCUAGGUGCUUGUGAUGAUACACAAA